Molecule: long non-coding RNA, 351 nt
Filed under: Mus pahari (shrew mouse)
Lineage: Eukaryota; Metazoa; Chordata; Mammalia; Rodentia; Muridae
Description: lncRNA (MGP_PahariEiJ_G0004472.1)
Source: RNAcentral
AACACAACCAAGAAGGAAUUUCUCUCCUCUGACUCCUGCACGAGAAUUUUGAAAGCCAAAAGACUGAAGGUUAAAAGCUGAACUUUAUCUACAAAGCCCCUGAGCGGGAAACCUUGUCUUUUGACUCCGACGGUAUACUAACAAUCUCUCUUGCAGAAGCAGCAAGGCUGGAUUGAUAUCAACCAUGACUUGCUUUUCAAAAAUUCAGAUCUGUUUUCUUACAUAAGAUCUGGCUUCAGUCCUACUUCUCAGAAGAAAGAUGAAACCUCUUGGGGAAUCUGCUGUGAAUCACCAUCUCUAUUUCUGAAGAGCGCCUGGCUCUUGCUGAAUCUAGAAGCCAGGCCAGCUACU